UAUAAUUUCGUUUCUGUUGUUACUUGUGUAACCUGAACCGAGGUUAGUAUCCUAUUUGCAUAUGUGUGUUUUGUGUGUUCUGUAGUCCCUGUAUUAGUUACGUACCUGUGAUAUAUAAAUGUGUGUGUGCGUGUGUGUGUGUGUGUGUGUGUGUAAUUCAUCAAAAUAUAUUGUUGUGUGAUGAUGAUAUAUGUUCAGUCUAGAGACACGUUGUUUUUCUUGCUUUGUAGAUCGAUGUGAACUAGUACUCUUGUGUGUUUCUGUUGUCACUAGUUAAAUUGAUCACCUAUGUACUACUUGUUGUAGAAACUUGUUACAUUAGUCCUUGUGCUAGCUAUGCACCUGUGAUAAAUAUGUGUGUGAUGUGAAACAUUUCUGUUCUGUCCUAUAAUAUUGUUUCCUCCCUCUUUUGCUUGUCAUUAUGCUAUAUGUGUUCAUGUCCUAAUGUUUCCCUUUAUGUUAGUUUCUAAUUUCUCAUGCCUAAUAAAAAUACCAAAAGAGAGCAAGUAAGAUCUGAUCCUCCCUUUGCUAUUUUGCCUUUUCUUUGUGGAUCAUCUUCGGGAGCAACCUUGUUUAGUUUAGGUUUAUUUUCUUGCAGCCAUAAUCUCAAUUGUGUUACCUAGAUUUAGCUGAGCAUAGUCGCCGUCGCCUAGUCCCUGAGGGGAACACGACACUCGCGAUUUGGGCGAAAUAUCCCACCGCAUUUACAAACGAUCAUUUUGGCGCCGUUGCCGGGGACUAGCAUCGAGUGACAGUGUUAGGCUAUAGACUAGGUUUUUCUUGUUUUCAUUUUGUGCCAUAUAUUUGUGAUAUAUCUCUAGCCACUAACCCCUGUUCUAGGUAGUAUCUUUUUGUCUUCUUUUCCUUUUUUGCAGGUUGGAUUAUCCUCUCGGAAAUGGCAUUCUAUUCGGAUCAUCAGGCUUAUGCGAGCAACACUACAAACAACAUGAAAAGAAUUCAAGAACUGAUAAGUAAGAUUUCCCAUCGAUUAGAUGAUUUAGCUCGGCAGCGAGAAGUAGUUUUUGUGGAUAGUCCUAGCUCUUAUGAUCCUUAUUCUGGAGGCCAUCCUUAUGUUGCUCCUACUUGCCAUAUUUGUGGAUUUCAGGGCCAUUCGCUCGCUGAAUGUCAGCGUGGUUACUCUCGCCCUCCAGAUUGUUUUGGCAUGAGCUUUGCUCAAGAGCAUAGCUCAUACCAAAACAAUUACUCACAUGGGUGGCCUGAGAACCCGAAUAUGUCAUUUAGGAGCAACAACCCUGAGAUCUUAUCAUUUGCCUCUAGUAAUCCAAUGCAGGGAUUUAGGUAUGAAGAGGAGAGCCACAACUAUGCUCCACAACAGUUUUAUUCACCUCCUACUCAUAUACCGCAGCACCAGGAGAUGUGUCCAAUGGAGUUAAAUGGUCCUCCGUUUGGUCAACCAACAACUUCAGCACCUAAUGAGUCGGUAGAGCAAUCUCAUGUGCAGGGAUUUAGGUAUGAAGAGGAGAGCCACAACUAUGCUCCACAACAGUUUUAUUCACCUCCUACUCAUAUACCGCAGCACCAGGAGAUGUGUCCAAUGGAGUUAAAUGGUCCUCCAUUUGGUCAACCAACAACUUCAGCACCUAAUGAGUCGGUAGAGCAAUCUCAUGUGCAAGUGCCCACACAAGAUGAGUUCGAUGACAUAGACAAACUCACACUUUUGAGUCUCGAGUUCACUUGGAGUGCCGAGGAUGAUCCUAUUAGGAAGGUUAUACUAGAGGAAAUGAAGAGGAUCAAGAGUGGAAAAGAGCUAGUGGAAGAAGUAAGGAAGAUUGAGAAGAGCAUCAAUGCUGGCAGCACUAUUUCUUCACAACUAGAGCUGAGUAUUUCUGGGAUAUCCUUUGAUACAUGUGAGGCUCCAACACCGUCACAUCCAGCUGAGCAAGAUAGAAAAAGUCCAGAGGAAGAGAGACCUUAGAUUGAAGUUGAACUCAAGGAACAAGAUGAUCAAGAGCUACAAUUUCCAAGUGAUCAAGUUGAAGACUCAUCAUCUACUACUCCUAAAGAAGUACAAGAAGCUGUUGUAGAUGAAGAUGAAGAACCUGAGAUUCAUUGGCCUAUUGUCAUACAUGAACCUGAUAUGUCAGGUUUACCCAAUCCUCUUGAUGACAUGCUGCCUUGUGAUUUCUUUGCUUCUAACUUGCAUUGCAUGAUGCCAUCACUUAAGGUAGAUUUGAAAAACUAUUUGCUUGGACAUGAUCAUACACACCCUGUUAGUGGCAUUGCUCAUAUCUCUGUUCAUGAUACUUAUGUUCCUGAUGCUAUACACAUGCUUAAUGAAACGUGUGAUUCUAAUACUAGCAUUGAGCUUACUGAAUUGUACCAUCCUAAACAUGUGCUUUAUAGCUAUGCUUAUGUAAUUGGGUACUCUAUUGAUGAUUUAGAGGGCAUUACCCUUGUCACUUGUAUCGCCUCCUUGGUUGAGUGCUCUUUCAGCUUGUUGCUUGUGCACGAUCCACUACAUGCUGGCCAAGUUCGAGAUGACAUUCCUUGGGACCCCGGUGGACCCAUGGCAUGGGGAUGAGGAGAAGCAAGGAGCACACAUGAAGAGAGAAGCUGUGCCGGCAUGAGGAUAGGGAAGCAAAAGGAGAGGAGUCACAAUGCAAGAGGAUGUGAGAUGAUCGAGCGAGUGCUACAUCAAAGCCCGGUGAGCUGUUUCAUGACCCAUUCCGAGUAUAUCAUCCAUUGAUGCUUGCUGAAUUAAAUUGCUAUUUGGGUUGCUUGUGCCAUUUCUUAAAUGUUGUCCCACAGAUUUUUCACCUUUGACAUAUGGUGCUUGAUGAGAAUAUGUGAACUGAUUGUUGAAUGCCUUGUAAACUAGUGAUCUACAUCCUGUUUGCUUUGCUGAAAGUAGUGAAAGCUAUUAGUUUUGAGUGCUCAAAUCCCUAGUGCACUAGUAAACUUAAUCAUUUUCUGCUUUUACCUUGAUACACCUAAAUCAUUAAGUGUCGGAUGCUGAGUUUGUGCCUAAUGUGUUCCCAUUGAGAGCAAUCACUUACCAUUAUGGAUUAGCAUGCUAUGUUCUCUGGAUCAGUAGCAUGUGAAGUAGACAUGGAUGAGUGAUGAUUCUUGAUUUUGUUCAUUUAAAAAAUGAAAAAUAUAUAUCUUAUAAUGAAUAAAUAAGUCUGACUACCUACAGUAGCAUGUCAUGUUCCCUAGAUCGGUGGCAUGUGGAAUCGGGUUAGCUUGGGCAGUAAUUAAUAAUAAAAAUGUAAUUGUCGAACCAGGUGUAUACCAUAUUCUUGGGAUCGGUGGUAUGUUCCUUUGGGGAGACAAACAAAAAAAACUAAUAAUUGGUCGAGCCGGGUGUAUACCAUGUUCUCGGGAUCGGUGGUAUGUUCCUUUGGUGAGAUCAAUAAAAUAUUAUCAUUACUUUCUUCAAAUUCAAUAAGUGCUUUCAACUGCAAUGUUGUGUUCCUGGUAAUAAGUGAUCUGAUCUCAAGUUUAAGUUUUUUUUGUUUUUGGGAUCAGGCUCUCUUUAGGAACCUUUUGGCACAAUCAGCAUUUGAACUUACUAAUCUUCUUUUAUCAUUGUAAAAGUUUAAAAUGGCCAAGUCUACUAGUAUCCUACUGCUUUGUAGCACUCUAACCAUUAAUUUUCACUAACUAAGUCUGAAGCAUGCACUGUUUAGAGAUCUACUUCACUGGGACAUUCUCCAGUCAGCUCACUGUUCAUUAUCUAGCUCUUGUCAUAUUCCUUUACUUGAGGACAAGCAAAAGUUUAAGUGUGGGGGAACUUGAUAAGCACAUUUCUUAUAUAGAAUUUUGGAACACAAAUUCAUCAUUUAUUGAGAUAUAUUGUCGGUGACGGUUGCAGGGGCGCGGGGUUGCGAGAAGAGCAGGGCUAGUAGACAGCACAAAGAUCGUUUAUCCAGGUUCGGGCCGCGAGGAUGCGUAAAACCCUAGUCCUGGUUUGGUGGGUGUAUUUCAGAGAGUUCUUGAGCUCUCGGACUAGAUGUGGUCAGUGCAUGGUUCAAAAGAGCCGAAUCCUUCUCCAGUAUGUCAUGGGCCUCCUUUUAUAGUCGGAAGGGGCUGCCACAGUGGCACACAGGAGGUGGAAAGGCGUACAGUGCCCUGAGCUUAUCGCUCGUAUUACAGGUGAUAGAGGCGAGGGUGUCCCGAUCUUUCGAUGAGAUGAUAACUAUCGAUUAGGUGGAGUCGACUUUGACGAUCCGACUACAAACGUGCACGACGUUGCGCCUUAGCAAUCGCUAAACCAACUUCGAGAGGUUAUUGACCUCGCCGGAGCACGAUCAACCUGACCACGAAGGUCUAUUCCUGCAUGCAAUCAAAGAACAAGCAAGAAUAUGAUAAUGCAAUCUGAAUAUUGCGAAUAUAGAUGAAGUAUUGAUAAAGAUAGGGAUCCAUAAGCGGUCUUGGUCUGGUCGUUGGACACAAACGAAGUACACGAAGUUGCAAUGGCUAACUUUUAACUAAACAAAUCCCAAGCAAAAAGCUACUAGAUGGAUCUACUUAUAUAGGAGCAAGGGGUGGAGGCCAAAAAGGUGGGAGGACGUCCCAAGGCAGCCUAAAACCAACCCUAGGUCGUACAAGGCUCAUGGGCCCAAGUGGAGGUGAUGCAACACCUUUGGACUUGUUUUUGACUCGGAUUUUGCUGCAGCGUCAGAUUGUUUCGUCCAUAUCUCAAUGCUCCGGACGAAUUUAAAGGUGAAUCCAAUUGGGUUGGAAAGAGGACGAAAUUUACUUUCCAACAAAAAAAGAAUCACCCAAUUCGGAGUCCGUAUGAAAAAGUUGUUGGCGUUUUGAGUCAGGUAUGUCUGUGCAGUCCGAAUCUGAAUCCAGAACGUGAGAGACUUGGACUCUAUCUUCUCUUGGCCCAAAAGUGACGUGAGAGGACUUUUUGAAUAGAACCUAAACUUCUCCUUUUCCCCUAUCUUCAUAUGUGGAUUGUAUAAAUGUCCCAUACACCUGCAAUUAGACAAAACACAAAAGUGUGUGAAGUAUUUUUGUUCUGGAUAACAUAAAUAGAUUAUUGAAUAAUUUGCACUAGAAAUCACCUGACAAAUAUGCAUGUAUGCAAUAUUUUUGGUCGUAUCCAAGGUAGUCAUGUCCUCAUCAUCCUCCCCUUCUUGAAAAUAAAGCCGUCCUCGGCGUUGCUUAAUCUGAAAUGUGGCUAACAAAAGAGACAAGGUGUACAUGUUGUAUAUGUAUAUGUCAUCCAUUUUUACUUCCCGUGGAUUUUGCACAUAUGACACAUGUAUACAUGAGUAACUUUCAUAGUUAAUAAAAUAUAAAGCCAAAAUAUUAUUACAAGUAGAAGGCAUGAAAGUAUUGCAACUCAGUUUGCACAUAUAAGUGAAGCUCUUAUUCAUAUGAAAAGAUUGACAAUAUUCAUCAUUAAACCAUCCCAACAUUGGUGAAUAAACCUUACUUGCAUUAAAUUUACAUGCUACAACAUGCUUAAAUAAGCAAACAUGCAAUAAGUCAUUUGACACAGAAUCAUCACCAAGAUUAGAGGUCAUAUCAAAAUGAUUAAACAUUGGUUCUUUUGCAUCAACAAUUAAUUCAUUGGGUCCACUCAAAAUUGUUGGUAUUUCAGAUGUUUGAUCACAUGACGCAUUCAUGACAGUAACAUGAUUCUCUAGAUUAGGUGAUGCGCUCAAAUCAAUAGGUAACUCAACACAUGAUGUAUUCAAGUUAACUAGGCAUGCAUCAUUCUCAUGUGAAGUUAUAUCAUCAAUACCUUUACAGUUACCUUGUCGUAAAGAUGUAGCUGAUGUAGGUACGGAUGAUGGCAAUGUACCAUACUCUUGAGAUGAUGUCGCGCUCACAAUCUGAGGUGUGGCUGCUCUAGUAGGUGCGACGGUGGAGGAGCCAAGCGGUGGUGGUGAGCAUGAACUAGAAUAGUAGUUGUUGUAGUCAUCCAAUGCAUCCUCCUGUAACUGUCUCUCAAAGGUACAAGCACGAACAUACAUACCAGAUACUGAAAUCGUGCCUGAAUAUCAUGGUUCAAACCACCAAAAAAUCUAUUCAUUGUAUCAUCCUCAGAUUCUUCUAUGUCACAAUGAUGCAUAUAAGAUUUGAACUCUUGGUAGUAAGCAUGAACAGUGUCGUUGCCUUGUUUAAAUUGUUCAAAUUUGCAAAGCAAUUCACGACGAUAGUAAGGAGGGAAAAAUUAUUGUCUCAUUACCUCUUUCAAAUCUUUCCAAGUUGUGAGUUGGUUAUCAAUGUUUUUCUUACAAUGCACACUCCACCAAACAGAAGCAAAACCAGUAAAUGCUCUAGUGGCAGCUCGUACUCGCUCAAGUUCAGAAAAGUCAUGGUGACUAAAAACUUGUUCUACUUCAACCUCCCAAGCUAGAUAAAUAGCAGGAUUAAAUCUACCCUCAAAUGACGGUAAAGAGAUAACCUGACCAUGUACUUGUGUGUGUUGUCCCAACUCUUGUGAUGGUGAUGAUGUGUCCGUCGUCCAAGAACUUCUAUCUCCGGAACCUGUCAUGAUUAGUAGAAACAAGAAACAAAAUUCGAGAAUAAUGUUCUGAUGAACUACUAGGAUGUGGUUGCAAAGUGCUCACAGUAAAGAAAAUAUCAAUAUCUUGCUCGUUCUUCGAUUGCUUGCAGGAAUAUACCUUCGUGGUCAGGUUGAUCGUGCUCCGGCGAGGUCAAUAACCUCUCGAAGUUGGUUUAGCGAUUGCUAAGGUGCAACGUCGUGCACGUUUGUAGUCGGAUCGUCAAAGUCGACUCCACCAAAUCGAUAGUUAUCAUCUAAUCGAAAGAUCAGGGCACCCUCGCCUCUAUCAAGUGGUAUCAGUUUUCAGGUUGCUCGGUGAGAAUUUCCAGUUUCCCCUAGAUUAGAUUUAUUUUCUUAUCUAUUGUCCAAGAAAAAGCCACAAAAAAGUUAGAUCUAUUCAUCCUUUUGUCCAAGCCAGUCUGAGCCUUUGCAAUUUUCUUUUCAUUGUUUGCAUUAUUGAAUUAUCGGUUGCAUCGUCGUGUCGAAUUGCUGGUCUUAGGGUCUAGUUCGUUUAGAGUUUCGAGUUCUGUUCACAUUAGUCACGUCGCCGCUGCAUCGUUAUCCCUUCCGCUGUCCACCACACCAUCCAUCAAUUUCCACCACGUGCUACCCAUAGUUCAUUGUCACAAUCAUAGUUGAUGUCGUUCACAUCUUCGCUUGAUCCAAUCUGCAUCUUAUCUAGUUUGUCUUAGAGGGAGAGAAAAAAAGACAGAGAAAAAAAGAGAGAAAAAAAGAAAAAGAAGUCGGAGAAAAAAAAGAGAGAAAGAAAAAGAAAAAAAAAGUGUGAGGAAAAAAAGAGAGAAAAAACAACAAAAUUGUGUGAAGUAUCCAAUAUGCAUGCAUGCAAUAUUUUUGGUAGUAUCCAAGGUAGUCAUGACCUCAUCAACAGGACAAGACACAUUUAAUGCGUAGCUUAGGUGUCCCCUUGCUUUAUUGGGGACGGGGGCGAGGCUCGUCCCGUCCGUCGCCGCUCCUCCAUGCUUUGACACGUGCCCUGGCCAGUGAGGCACAUGGUGCCAUGUAGGCAGGCAGGCAGCUGAGGUGGCGCAGUGCCGGAGCCUUCACGAAGAUCUGCAUGCCGCCACGCAGGCGCUCGAUGAGUUGGCCUGGGAGCUGCAUGUUGUCACGCAGGUGCCCGCCCAGCUGGUUGGGCUGGCAGCUGCAUGUGAACGGCGGUGGAAGCUUGGUUGGCGUGGGCCUGGCGGUGGCCCUGCUGGCGUCCGUGGUGAGGGCCUUGCCGUGUGGCCCGGCAAGGGUCUUGCCGUGGCGCGCUAUCGUCCCCAGCGAGGGCCUUGCCGAGGGUCUGGUGGCCUUCCUCGGCAAGGAUCUUGCCGAGGAUCGUCGUCUUCUAAUUCUCAUCUGAUCUUGAAUAUGUCUUCACAAAGAUCUGCAUGCCACUACGGAGGUGCCUCCCGAGCCCUGGCCCAACGUGAUGUUGGAGAUCGUGGGCUCAAGGGUGGCCCGCUCUGUUGGUGCAGGGCGAGCUGUUCCGGCAAGGAUCUUGUCGGGGCUGCUGAGGCUGCCCCGGCAAGGGUCUUGCCGGGGGAACCUGCUUCAUCCCUCUGCUCUUUGUGGUCUUGGCCUUGACGUUGCUCUUAUUAUCUUGGGCUUUGGUCUUACCUUGGCUCACCUCCCCUGUUCUGCUUGGCGUGACCGUAGGCGCGGCUCCGACUGCCCGUGCACAGAUAUAGGGGUACAAAAACGCACCCCUUUUUUUGGACACCGACAGAAGCCCCCGGGCCUGGGCCACACAUAAGCGCGAUACGUUGUUGGGCCAGGCCCAAAACGUGCGCGGGCAGGCGGGGCGGUUUUUACCGCGGUAAAACUUUUCGCGCGUUGCGCUUCCAACGGCCCGCGCGGCGUGGAGGGGUGUGCGUGACGUGGGCGCCAUGCGUGGGACGGUUUCCACACGCAUGCGUCACAUCGCAGUAAAAAGGCGGCUCGCGCCUUCCCCGUAAAAAGAGGGAGGCGUGGAGGCGUGCUACCUCUUGAGCACUGCGUUGCUUUUCCCUUGAAGAGGAAAGGGUGAUGCAGCAAAGUAGCGUAAGUAUUUCCCUCAGUUUUUGAGAACUAAGGUAUCAAUACAGUAGGAGGCUACGCGCGAGUCCCUCGCACCUGCACAAUACAAAUAAAUCCUCGCAACCAACGCGACAAGGGGUUGUCAAUCCCUUCACGGUCACUUACGAGAGUGAGAUCUGAUAGAUAUGAUAGGGUAAUAUUUUUGGUAUUUUUAUGAUAAAGAUGCAAAGUAAAAUAAAAGCAAAGGCAAUAACAAAGUGUUGGAAGAUUAAUAUGAUGAAGAUAGACCCGGGGGUCAUAGGUUUCACUAGUGGCUUCUUUCAAAAGCAUAAGUAUUUUACGGUGGGUGAACGAAUUACUGUUGAGCAAUUGACAGAAUUGAGCAUAGUUAUGAGAAUAUCUAAGUAUGAUCAUGUAUAUAGGCAUCACGUCCGAGACAAGUAGACCGACUCCUGCCUGCAUCUACUACUAUUACUCCACUCAUCGACCGCUAUCCAGCAUGCAUCUAGAGUAUUAAGUUCAUAAGAACAGAGUAACGCCUUAAGCAAGAUGACAUGAUGUAGAGGGAUAAAUUCAUGCAAUAUGAUAAAAACCCCAUCUUGUUAUCCUCGAUGGCAACAAUACAAUACGUGCCUUGCUGCCCCUACUGUCACUGGGAAAGGACACCGCAAGAUUGAACCCAAAGCUAAGCACUUCUCCCAUUGCAAGAAAGAUCAAUCUAGUAGGCCAAACCAAACUGAUAAUUCGAAGAGACUUGCAAAGAUAACCAAUCAUACAUAAAAGAAUUCAGAGAAGAUUCAAAUAUUGUUCAUAGAUAAUCUUGAUCAUAAACCCACAAUUCAUCGGUCUCAACAAACACACCACAAAAAGAAGAUUACAUCGAAUAGAUCUCCACGAGAGAGGGGGAGAACAUUGUAUUGAGAUCCAAAAAGAGAAAAGAAGCCAUCUAGCUACUAACUAUGGACCCAAAGGUCUGAGGUAAACUAUUCACACUUCAUCGGAGAGGCUAUGGUGUUGAUGUAGAAGCCCUCCGUGAUGGAUGCCCCCUCCGGCGGAGCUCCGGAACAGGCCCCAAGAUGGGAUCUCAUGGGUACAGAAGGUUGCGGUGGUGGAAUUAGGUUUUUGGCUCCGUAUCUGAUCGUUUGGGGUACGUAGGUAUAUAUAGGAGGAAGAAGUACGUCGGUGGAGCAACGUGGGGCCCACGAAGGUGGAGGGCGCGCCCUGGGGUGGGGGGGUGGGCGCGCCCCCUACCUCGUGGCCUCCUGGAAGCUUCUCUGACGUAAGGUCCAAGUCUCCUGGAUCAUGUUCGUUCCAAAAAUCACGCUCCCGAAGGUUUCAUUCCGUUUGGACUCCGUUUGAUAUUUUUUUCCCGCGAAACUAUGAAAUAGGCAAAAAAAAAUAGCAAUUCUGGGCUGGGCCUCCGGUUAAUAGGUUAGUCCCAAAAAUAAUAUAAAAAUGGAUGAUAAAGCCCAAUAUUGUCCAAAACAGUAGAUAAUAUAGCAUGGAGCAAUCAAAAAUUAUAGAUACGUUGGAGACGUAUCAAGGCGCGACUCAUUUAUUGAACGGGGCCAGGGCGCGGUCUUCAAGGCAUCCACUCCCCACGAUCACGGGGUGGGGAGAGGUUGCUUCGCCCGUCCCCUCGGUUCUGCAUGUAUGCCACGCGUCCUCCAUGCACCUAGGGUGGCAAGCGGUGGAGGCGGGAAACCGGGCCGUCGCUGGUUGGGGCAGCGGGUCGGUCCUGAUUCCCCGUGGCUUUGGUGGCUGGAUUGGCCGAGUGAGGCGGCCGAGCCCCGUCCCCGCCUCCUUAUAAAGAGGGGGAAGGGGGGAUGGCAUCCCACACUCUUCCGUCAUCUAUCUCCACUCGCUUCUACUUCUUCCUUUCACUCGCCAUGGAGAAAGGGAAUCAUGGUCCCUCAACGGUGGCGGCGAGGGUCGCCGCCCGACAGCACGUCCCUCCUCCUCCUGAGCCCGCGGUGGUGGAACCGGCCGCGUGGGGAAGGGGGAGGGGGCGAGGUCGUCGGCGAGGCCGGGGCAGAGGUCGUAGUGCUCGGGGAAGAGGAGGACGGGGCGGCGCACCGGCUUCACCCCCGCCAAUGAUGCCUUUUCCAAUGGAAGGCCAUGUUGGAGACCAGCCCCGUGAAUUUUUCAUCAGGCUGCGCUGGCCUUCGCGUCGCCGUCUUCGUCUUCCCGCCCCGUUCGCUCGGGAGAUGGAGUGUGACCCGCCCCAGUCCCUCAGAUUGCACAUGAGGGGUUGUGGGAAUGGGGGCACGCGGGUCGACGUCGACUUCCCGGCUCCCCGGGUCAUGUACCUCCGUCAUGGGUGGAAGACGUUCGCUCGCAUCCACAGCCUAACGGCGGGGCUCGUCCUCUACUUCAAAUUAAUGGAGGACGACCUGCUCUCCGUCAAGGUCUUCGGCGACUUCGGGACUCGCCUGAAGUGCUGCGUGGAGAGCUCCUCCGAUGGAGAUUCCGACGAUGGAAGCUCUACCUCGAGCGAAAGUGAUGAGGAGGACAACGGGGCAGACGGCGGGGACGAGUCCGACUAGGCGUCGGACGCCUGGUGCCUGGGCGGGUGCGGCAGCAGCAACAUCUGCACUUGGCCGCUCCUCCGGCAGAGUUUUGCCGGGGGUGGGGCCAGCUCCUUGAACUUCUCGGGGCCGUCUCCUUGGGCGGCUGGCGUCGAGAGGCUGCGGAAGAGGAAGAGGGCGGGCGGCAACGCCGUUAACUCGGAGUACGCGGGCACCGACGCCUUCGUGGCGUACUGCCGGUCCUGCCGCCUCGUCUUCCAGCUCCUUUCCCGGCACCGUCAUCACCGGCCCGCCCCUGGGCGGUCACCAAGGUGUUCUCUUGGUGCUUUCUGCCGCUCGUAGCUCGCCUAGGCGCCCCUUUUGCCCUUUCGCCUCAUUGACCUGCCUCCUGAGGAGAGGGACAAGAAAGGGAUUACGGGCAUCUUAUCCUUCUUCUUUAGUUUGUAAGCCUGCGGGCCUUUGUUAAAUUUAGAACUUGUAAUCCCCUUGCUCAUGUUUUUCAUUUCGUACGAACUGUACCUGUAUGGGAUGUUUUUAAUGAAAAAGGGAUGCUUGCCGGGUUUUUCGUUCGUGGGUAAACCCCGCGACAAGGAGCGAAUCCUUGUUAUUGUUUAAGAUAAACGUUUUUCGCCCGGCAACAGGCCUUGCCGCCCCCCACUCCACUCGACCGUUCUCGCGCUCUUGGCGGAGGCAGGGAUGAAGUGGGCUUUAGGCUCCUCGUUCUACCUCCUUGCCGCCGCGGCUACAACCAAAUCCGGACCUAGGAAAUAAUCCUUAGGUAUAGGAAAAAGGGGAGCACGACAGCCUAGAGAUAAAAACGAGGUUUCACAUGCCCCAGUCCUGUUCUGAAAUGCAUGACAGAGGAUAAAAGACUUAUCUGGAUCUGCAGCCCCCAGCAAUCUCAUCUUGCCGCGGUUGGAACCUUGUGCUUGCAGCCCCCGGCAACUCUGGUUUACCGGGGUCGGGACGCCGGUCCGUUUUCUUUCUUCCAAGUAGCUCGACAGAAGUGCUCAUGUGCCCUGCGAACCAAAGGAGGACGGAAGAGAAACAGAUAGACGCGCAUUCGACCUCUAAGCUAGGGGUUAGUCGCUGCUGAGCACUAUCAACCCUAACCAAGGAAGAGACUCGACCUAGCAUGCAUGCUAUGACUGAGGGCGCCAGCGCUUCAUUUAUUUAUGCUCAGGGUCUGUGCCUGGCUUUGUACGAAGGGUUACAUGCCUUGCCGGCAAAGCUUGUACAAAAGGUGGCUUGCCGGGAGGCCCAGCAAGCCGCGCCUUAUGGGUAAAACUUGCGAAGAUGCUCGAUGUUCCAGGAGUUCCUCACUGGGAUGGCAUCUUCGGUCUCCAGGUGGACUGCGCCGGGCCUGGUGACUCGUAUUACCCGAUAAGGGCCUUCCCACUUCGGCGUCAACUUGUUGGCAUUCUCGGCCGACUGAACGCGCCGAAAAACAAGGUCGCCUUCCUCAAAGCUUCGGGCAUGAACCUUGCGGCUAUGGUAGCAGCGCAAGGCUUGCUGGUAGCGCGCUGCUCUCACAGCCGCCCGAAGACGAUCUUCCUCAAGGAGCGUCGCAUCAUCUUGGCGCAACUGCUCUUGCUCAAGCUCAUCAUAAGCGAGCACUCGAGGUGACCCGUAUAUGAGUUCCGUGGGGAGAACUACUUCUGCCCCGUAGACCAGGGCAAAAGUUGUCUGGCUGGUGGCUCGAUUUGGCGUCGUCCUGAUCGACCAAAUAACCGCCGGCAAUUCAUCAAUCCAGCGCCUUCCGCUCUUGCGCAGCUUGUCAAAAGUCUUUGUCCUUAGGCCUCGCAACACUUCAGCAUUCGCCCUCUCCGCUUGGCCGUUGCUCCGUGGGUGUGCCACGGAAGCAAAACAGACCUUGCUGCCGAGGUCUUGAAUGUAUUGCAUGAAGGUGUGGCUCGUGAACUGCGUGCCGUUGUCGGUGAUGACUCUAUUUGGCACACCAAAACGGCAGACCAGUCCUUUAAAAACUUGACAGCUGACUGAGCAGUCACCUUUCUCACUGCUUCCACCUCCGGCCACUUUGUGAACUUGUCGAUUGUAACGUACAAGUAUUCAAAGCCCCCGACAGCGCGGGGGAAAGGGCCCAGUAUGUCGAGCCCCCAGACCGAGAAUGGCCAGGAGAGAGGGAUUGUUUGAAGGGCUUGGGCUGGUUGAUGAAGCUUCUUUGAAUGAAACUGACACGCUUCUGUAACGCCCCGGAUCCGAUGCGCCAGGUGUCACACAGUUAUUCGCUGUCGUUGCCAUGUCAUUUGCUUGCGUGUUGCAUUUUGCCAUGUCAUCAUAUGCAUUUCAUAUCAUGUCAUCAUGUGCUUCGCAUUUGCAUACGUGUUCGUCUCAUGCAUCCGAGCAUUUUCCCCGUUGUCCGUUUUGCAAUCCGGCACUCCUAUGUCACCCGGCGCCCCCUUUUGUCUUCUUCUCGUGUGCGGAUGUUAAACAUUUUCGGAAUGGACCGAGUCUUUUCAAGUGGCCUUGGUAUACCACCGGUAGACCACCGGUCAAGUUUCGUUCCAUUUGGAGGUCGUUUGGUACUCCAACGGUUAACCGGGUAACCGCAAAGUCCGUUUUGGUAUUGCAGCAAACCCCCCUUUCAAACAGCCACAAAACCCCUCUAAGUCCCUGUCAUGCUCUCGGUCGUUCGAUCACGAUCGCGUGGGCGAAAACCGCACCCCGUUUGGACUCUCCUAACUCCCUCUACCUAUAUAAACACCCCCUCCCCGAAAUUUCGGAUCAAUUCCACCCUAACCCUAAUAUUUUUCCCUCCGCGCCGCCGGACGUUUCGUCCUCCGCAGCCGGACAUGUCCAUUUCGCCGCCGCCGCCGCCCGCGGCCAAUCGGCACGCGCCACCUGUCCNNNNNNNNNNNNNNNNNNNNNNNNNNNNNNNNNNNNNNNNNNNNNNNNNNNNNNNNNNNNNNNNNNNNNNNNNNNNNNNNNNNNNNNNNNNNNNNNNNNNNNNNNNNNNNNNNNNNNNNNNNNNNNNNNNNNNNNNNNNNNNNNNNNNNNNNNNNNNNNNNNNNNNNNNNNNNNNNNNNNNNNNNNNNNNNNNNNNNNNNNNNNNNNNNNNNNNNNNNNNNNNNNNNNNNNNNNNNNNNNNNNNNNNNNNNNNNNNNNNNNNNNNNNNNNNNNNNNNNNNNNNNNNNNNNNNNNNNNNNNNNNNNNNNNNNNNNNNNNNNNNNNNNNNNNNNNNNNNNNNNNNNNNNNNNNNNNNNNNNNNNNNNNNNNNNNNNNNNNNNNNNNNNNNNNNNNNNNNNNNNNNNNNNNNNNNNNNNNNNNNNNNNNNNNNNNNNNNNNNNNNNNNNNNNNNNNNNNNNNNNNNNNNNNNNNNNNNNNNNNNNNNNNNNNNNNNNNNNNNNNNNNNNNNNNNNNNNNNNNNNNNNCGACCCCGCCGCCGGCGCCCGCGCUGCCGCCGGCCAUCGCCCCGCCGUCGCCUGGCCUGGCCUCCCCUCCACUCCGGCCGCCGCCGAUCGACUCCGGCGAGCCGGCGCCCGAUCCAGAACGAGCCCGCGUUGACUUCGUUCCCCCCCUCGAGGUCGUUAUUUUUCUAAGUCCCCAGUUCUUAUUAAUAUGUGCACAUGUUCAACUGUGUGUAACUUCAUGCAUGUAGCUCCGAUUCGCGCGUAUAAUAUGUCGAAUUGUUCGUCCCGUGAUGCUCUACAUUUUGUUCAAUUGCACCAUGUUCAUUAGAGGUCAUCUUGAUGCCUUAAUCAUCGUUGCAAGAGGGCUAGUUGCUGUUAUCUGCUGAUUCUUAUCAGAACUUGGAGAUUUGUCAUUUUUGUAUCAUUUAAUCUGUGCAUCUUUUGGGCAUGACCUCUACAUGUGUUUUGAAGUAUGCCAUGCCAUCUUUCCAGUGGUGUAGUCCAUGUAUUUGUGUGAUCUCUGUGGUGACUAGCACAAGCACGCAAAGUAGGCCCCGUAAUAUUUCUGAUUUCAGGGACUUAGUGAUUUCUCUAAGUCCUUGUCUGCUGUAAUUUUGUUGCCUUGUUAACUUGAUGCUACAGAGAGAUCCAUGCAUAUUUUGGAGAUGUUCAGUAAGGAUGUUUUGUAGAUAUUGUUAUAAUUGAUCCAUUACUGCCCUUGUUUGCAAUUAUGGUGUGCCAUAGCAUGUCUCAAUCUUGCUCUACUUUUGCUAUAAAAUAUUUCUGGCAGAUUCUUAACAUGAUAUGCAAUCUUGCCAAGCUUAUUGUAAUUGAUCCAUACAUGCUAUGAUUAUACUCUUGCCAUGGUUAGCUUCAUAAACAUGCCAUCUUGCUGUAGAUAUACUUAGGUUAUCAUUCAUUGCUCUGUAGUGAGUGCAUCAAGCUCACAAAGAGGCCUACAUAUUAUAGUUUCUGCCAUGCUCUGUUUUUUGCCAAGUCUGAAACCAGAUAACGAAACUUGCUAUGUUCACAUGCUUGCCAUCAUAUCUUCUGGUCCUUUUUCGCUUAUGGUCAGUAAGGGACUUUUGUUAUAUGCUUUGAGUAGAUUCAUGCCAUGCCUUUCUUUGCUAUGUUAAGUCCCUGUAGCAUGUUGAUUUCGUGCUCUGAACAUUGCUACCUGAUGCUGUUUCUGUCAUGUCCAGUAAUUCUGCCAAGUCUGUGAACCUGUUAUUAUUUGCAAUCUUGCCAUGUCCUUUUGAGCAUUUUCUAUUGAUUUCUGGAGAUAGCUCAGUGUUCAUGUUUUGUUGUGCUUUACCUGUACAUCAUGUCCUUGUCUUUUGUUUUCAUGUUGAGUUGCUGUAGCAUAUUGUUUUGAUGCUUGCCAUAUGCCUAGUUGCUGUUUUGGACAGAUUGUUGCUAUGUCUUGUUUGGAGUGUAUGUGUUGCACCGUUGCUCCGUUUUGAGCAUGCUCUAUAUGAAACUUGCUUAGUUUUGCAUGUAGUCUCAUAUUAUCAUGUUGCAUCCUUGUGUUGAGGUGUGUGCUUGAUGUUUGUAUGCAUUUUGCACCAAUGCCAUGCUCAUCUUGUCUUGCUCAUAUCUUCUAGGCCGUAGCUCCGAAUCUAAUGAACUUUAUAUGUAACUUGACUAGAAUUUCGUGUAGAUCAUCAUGGUGCUCUUUAACUUGCUGUUUAACAACUUUAACUUAAUGCUUGUUCAGUUCUGGACCAAUUUUGAAAUUUGCAUAUGAGGACUUACCGGAAUUGUUAUGUGUUGUUUCCGGCCUCAUUUAAACUUGCCUUGAUGUGUUGCUCUUGUAUGCAUCCUUUCUUGCCGUGUGUAGCCUCAUAUUGCCUUGUCAUGCAUCAUUCUUGAUUGAGCAUCAUGCCUUGUUCAUGUGUGGUGUGUUUACCUUGUUGUGUGUUUCUUCUCGAUAGCUCCUGUGUCGUUGCGAUCGUGAGGAUUCGUUCGUCUUCGUGGCUUCAUCUUCUUCAUGGAUUCGUUCUUCUUCCUAGCGGGAUUUCAGGCAAGAUGACCGUCACCUUGGAUCUCAUUACUAUCAUUGCUAUGCUAGUUGCUUCGCUCUAUCGCUUUGUUGCGCUACCUAUUCACUUGUUCCUCAAGCCUCCCAUUUUGCCAUGAACCUCUAACCUUUGUCACCCUUCCUAGCAAACCAUUGUUUGGCUAUGUUACCGCUUUGCUCAGCCCCUCUUAUAGCGUUGCUAGCUGCAGGUGAAGAUGAAGAUUGCUCCAUGUUGGAUUAUGUUUAUGUUGGGAUAUCACAAUAUCUCUUAUAUUAUUAAUGCAUCUAUAUAUUUGGUAAAGGGUGGAAGGCUCGGCCUUAUGCCUGGUGUUUUGUUCCACUCUUGCUGCCCUAGUUUCCGUCAUACCGGUGUUAUGUUCCCGGAUUUUGCGUUCCUUACACGGUUGGGUGAUUUAUGGGACCCCCUUGACAGUUCGCCUUGAAUAAAACUCUUCCAGCAAGGCCCAACCUUGGUUUUACCAUUUGUCCAGCCUAUUUCUUUUCCCUAGGGAGUCGCUCUCUCGAGGGUCAUCUUAUUUUAACCCCCCCGGGCCAGUGCUUCUCUAAGUGUUGGUCGAACUGAGUAGACUGCGGGGCCACCUCGUGGAAACUCGAGGUCUGGUUUUACUCGUAGGAUGUCUCAUCCGAUGUUGCCCUGAGAACGAGAUAUGUGCAGCUCCUAUCGGGAUGUCGGCGCAUCGGGCGGCUUUGCUGGUUUUGUUUUACCAUUGUUGAAAUGUCUUGUAACCGGGAUUCCGAGACUGAUCGGGUCUUCCCGGGAGAAGGAAUAUCCUUCGUUGACCGUGAGAGCUUAUCAUGGGCUAAGUUGGGACACCCCUGCAGGGUAUUAUCUUUCGAAAGCCGUGCCCGCGGUUAUGUGGCAGAUGGGAAUUUGAUAAUAUCCGGUUGUAGAGAACCUGACACUUGACCUUAAUUAAAACGCAUCAACCGCGUGUGUAGCCGUGAUGGUCUCUUCUCGGCGGAGUCCGGGAAGUGAACACGGUUUCUGGGUUAUGUUUGACGUAAGUAGGAGUUCAGGAUCACCUCUUGAUCAUUGCUAGUUUCACGACCGUUCCUUUGCUUUCUCUUCUCGCUCUUAUUUGCGUAAGAUAGCCACCAUACAUUGCUUAGUCGCUGCUGCAACCUCACCACCUUAUCCUUUCCUUUCCCUUUAAGCUUUGCUAGUCUUGAUACCCAUAAUAAUGGGAUUGCUGAGUCCUCGUGGCUCACAGUUUACUACACCACCAGUUGCAGGUACAGGUUGUGCGAUGAUCAUGACGCGAGAGCGAUGUGUACUUGUUUUGGAGUUCUUCUUCUGCUUCUUCUUCGCUCAGGGGAUAGGUUCCAGGUCGGCAGCCUGGGCUAGCAGGGUGGAUGUCGUUUGAGUCUCUGUUUAUGUUUCAUCCGUAGUCGGAUGUUGAGCUUAUGUAUGAUGUAUUGAUGUAUCCUUGCGGCAUUUGUAUGCCUUGUAUGUAUCCCCAUAUAUUUUGUAAUGUCGAUGUAAUGAUAUCCACCUUGCAAAAGCGUUUCAAUAUGCGGGUCUAUCCUUGGUGGGACCUUCGAGUUCCUGUAGGAUAGGGUCGCAUAUUGGGCGUGACAGCUUCACACUUGGUUACUAGUGCCGUCGCAUCCUGGAGGGCGGUGGGCCAGAAAAAACCUUGUCGGAACGCCUUCCCGGCAAGGGCCCUUGACCCUAUGUGGGAGCCACAUAUGCCUCCAUGUAUCUCCGCCAACAGCUCCAGUCCUUCUAACUGGGGGAUGCACUUCAAUUUCAUGCCAUUCGGCCUUCUCCUGUACAGGACAUCAUCGACGAACUGGUACAGGGCGGACCGACGGGCUACUUUCUCCGCUUCUUCCUGCUCCUCAGGAAGCUCCCCUGUUUGGAGGAAUCGAACGGUAUGCUGCGCCCAUGCCGGAGCCCGGGCUCGACGACAAGGACCAAAGGCAUUUCUUCCGCCAUGGGAGCGGCUGUCUCUACGGCUAGGGCUUGACGCCCUGCCGGAGGUAGCUACUCUUGGGCAGGCUCGGCGUCCGUGGCGGCACCCUUGCCGGCAGCCCCAGAGGGUUCGGUAGGAAAGUACUUGCCGGGACCCGACUUCCUUCGCUUGUUCUGCCCCGUUGAUGGUUUGACGGAUGGUUGAGUUAGCUGGAGCAAAAAGGUACCUGGUUCCACAGGUAGCUUGAAUGCGGCACACUUUGACAGGUAAUCGGCGGUGUCGUUCUCCAUUCGGGGGACGUGCUCCGCUAGGAUACCGUCAAAGCGCUCCUCCAGCUUCCUCACUUCAUCUACGUAGGCUUCCAUCAAUGGGCUUUGGUAAUCCUUAUUGACCUGCCUGACAACAAGCUGCGAGUCACCCCUGACGAUGAGCUUCUUAACCCCGAGGUCUGCCGCGAUCCUGAGACCGGCAAGCAAUCCCUCGUACUCAGCAGUGUUGUUGGUGGACAUCUCUCGGGGAAAGUGCAUCUGGAUCACGUACUUGAGGUGCUCCCCGGUAGGUGCGACGAGUAGCACACCGGCAUCGGCGCCUUGCAGCGAGAAAGCCCCAUCAAAGUACAUGAUCCAGUCGCGAUCUUCCUCCUUGCCGGGGAGUGUGGUCUCCUGGAUUUCUUCGUCAGGUGUUGAGGUCCAUUCUGCAAUGAACUCCGCCAAGACUCUGCUCUGAAUUGUCGAGGUACUUUCAAACUUCAAACCGAAACUUGACAACUCUAAGGCCCACUCCACAAUCCUCCCGGUUGCAUCCGGGUUAUGCAGUAUCCGUUGCAAAGGGAGGCGGGUGACGACAGUGAUCUCGUGGGCUUGGAAGUAAUGACGCAGCUUCCUCGAGGCCAUAAGAAGGCCGAAGAGCAAUUUCUGCACACCGGAGUACCUCGAUCUAGCCCCCUGCAAGAGGGAGCUGACAAAGUAAACCGGGUGCUGCAUCAUCUUCUUCUUCUGCACCACCCCACUUGACUGCGCGGGCACUGCCUCGGUGGCAUCAGACUCUGCCGGGGGCCUCGCCUUGCCGGCACCAGGCCCUGCCGGGGGAAUCUUGGGCUUGCCAUCCGCUGGUUCUGCCGCCGUCACUGCCUCCUCGUUGACCUCCCUCUGUGCCACUAGCGCGGUGCUGACCACUUGAUUUGUCGCCGCCAGAUACAGCAGCAACGGCUCUUGUGGUUUAGGCGCAACCAGUAUUGGCGUGGAGGAAAGGUAUUUCUUCAGAUCCUGCAAUGCUUCCUCGGCUUCUGGGGUCCAUUCCAUUGGGCCUGCCUUCUUCAAGAUUUUGAAGAAAGGAAGGGCGCGCUCGGCGGACUUGGAGAUGAAUCGGCUCAUGGCGGCAACGUAGCCGGUGAGCCGACGCACAUCCUUGAUCCGCUUGGGCGCCUCAAUCUGCUCAAUAGCCUUGAUUUUGUCUGGGUUUGCCUCGAUUCCGCGCUGCGAUACAAAGAACCCGAGAAGCUUGCCGGAUGGAACGCUGAAGACACACUUCUCAGGGUUCAGCUUGAGGUUGAUCUUGCGCAGGUUGGCAAAUGUCUCUUCCAGAUCUUCCACAAGAGUUGGCCCGUCCUUGGUUUUGACUACUAUGUCAUCCAUGUAGGCCUCCAUAUUUCUAUGGAGCUGAGGUUCAAAACCAAUUUGGACUGCUCUUGCAAAUGUUGAGCCAGCGCUCUUCAACCGAAAGGCAUCCGUAAAAAGCAAUACGUACCACAUGGGGUGAUGAACGCUGUCUUUUCUUCAUCCUCUCUUGUCAUGAAGAUAUGGUGGUAGCCCGAGUAGGCGUCGAGGAAUGACAACAGAUCACACCCGGCCGUGGAGUCAACAAUCUGGUCGAUGCGCGGCAACGGGAAGGGGUCCUUAGGACAAGCCUUAUUGAUAUCUGUGUAAUCAAUACACAACCUCCACUUCCCAUUCGCCUUGCGCACCACUACCGGAUUGGCCAACCACAUCGGGUGGAGCACUCCCCUCACCAAACCUGCCGCUUCCAACUUCCUGAUCUCCUCCGUGAUGAACUCCUGCCUCUCCAGAGCCUGCUUUCUGACCUUCUGCUGGAUGGGCCGCGCAUGGGGGCUGACAACUAGGUGGUGCUCAAUCACCUCCCUGGGAACAACGGGGAUGUCGGAUGCUUUCCAUGCAAACACGUCGACAUUCGACCGCAGGAAGGUGACGAGCGCGCCUUCCUAUUUGCUACCGAGGGUGGAGCCUAUGGUGAAGGCCCCUCCCGUGCCAUCCUCCCUGGUGGACACCUUCUUGGUUUGCGGCGGCUCGGCUCUAGAUCUCUUGCUCUUGUCGGUAGAGCUCUCUGGCACGGCCUCGACGGCAGCACAACACUCCGAAGAGGUGCGCUUGCCGGAGUGGGUGCGAGAGGUCUUGCCGGGCUUCUUCCUCCCUCCCGGGGCUUCAGCGGCAGGAGCAGGUGCCUUGGCGGCAGCUGCUGCAACUGCCUCCCGGUAGAGUUGGUCGGCGCAAAUCAGCGCGUCCUUCUUGUCGGAGGGGACGGAGAUGAUGGUCAACGGCCCGAGCAUCUUUAGCAUGUUGUAGGCGUAGUGUGACGCCGCCAUAAACUUGGCUAGUGCCGGGCGGCCGAGGAUCCCGCUGUAGGGCAAGGGGAUCUCGGCCACGUCGAAGACGAUCCUCUCCGUCCUGUAGUUCAACUCUCCUCCAAAUGUCACGGGCAGUGUGACCUUUCCCUUCGGCUGGCUCCUCCCCGGAUUGACCCCUUGAAACGUGCCCGUUUCCUCGAGGUCUCCAUCAGGGAUUUGCAACCUUUUGAUCACGACAGGCGAGAUCAGGUUUAGGCCGGCCCCGCCGUCAACCAACAUCUUGUUCACCCUGAAGUUGCGUAUUGUUGGUGAGACCAACAAUGGCAAACACCCGACCGCGGUAGUGCGGUCAGGGUGGUCUUCGGCGUCAAAGAUGAGGGGCGUGCUGGACCACUUCAGCGGCUUCUGAGCGUCGAACGACGGCUCUUCUGCUGUAAUCUCACGCGCCCACUGCUUGAGCUAGCGGUGAGAGGUAUGCAGCGAGGCGCCGCCAUCGACGCACAUGGCCUCCGUAGCCUUCUGGAACCCUUGCUCACCAGACUCGUCGUCCUUGUCGUGAUCAUCGUCUUCUUGUUUCUUGUCGCGGCCCCGGGCGGGCCUCUCUUGCUGGUUGUCCUUGCCGGGGUAGCCUCCUUGGCCGCCACGCUUCUUGCCGGAUCCCUCAGCACCGUCCUGGUCCUUCUCCUUGUCCCGCCUCUCGUACUCAGCCUUUUGCUUCUUAGGAAGCAGCUCGACUUGUCGGCAGUUCUGGAGGUCGUGGCCCUUGGUGCGGUGGAUCUUGCAGUAUUGCUUGCCGGAGCUCCCUGGCUUGUCGGUAGCUGCCAAGGCCCGGCAGGCGGCGCACCAGGCAAUCUCCUUGUCGGGAGCGCCUGCCUUGACCUUCUUGCCGGCACCGGUGUCGCCAGAUCCCUCAACGGCAAGCACGGCCUUACCCUUGCGUUUCCUGUUGUGACGCCGGCCCUUCUUCGUCGGGGUAGCGGCGUCCUCAUCGGUAGAGUCGGUUUCCGCGCCGGCGUCUUCGCCGGGGUACUUCCUUCCCUCUUCAGCCCGGGCGCAUCUAUCGGCCAGAACGUAGAGCUCGGCCACAUCCUUAAUCUUGGUCAUCGCCAGCUCCUCGCGCAUCUUGCGAUUGCGCACGUUCUGGUGGAAUGCGCUAAUCACAGCGGCAGGAUGAACGUCGGGGAUGUUGUACUGCACCCGGCUGAAUCUCUGGAUGUACUUGCGCAGGGUCUCCCCUUCCUUCUGGGGAAUGAUAUGCAGAUCACUGGCCUGGCCAUGAGCUUGGUGGCCUCCUGUGAAGGCGCCAACGAACUCAUGGCAUAGAUCCGACCAAGAAGAAAUGGAAUCCACCGGCAAGUGCAUCAACCAAGACAUCACAUUGGGCUUGAGCGCCAGCGGGAAAUAGUUGGCAAGCACCUUGUCGUUGCGAGCCCCAGCCUGCAUCGCGAUGGUGUAGAUGCUGAGGAACUCAGACGGAUGGGUCUUGCCAGUGUACUUCUCGCCGACGUCGGGCUUGAACGUGCGGUGGGACGACCACUGGAACUGCUGCAGCUCACGGGUAAAGGCCGGGCAGCCCACCUCGUAAGGUAGGCCGCCGGAGCCCCCCGGUGCCGGGUGGUCCAUAGCGGGUCCCGCCCGCUUGUCCGACUGGCGGCGCGUUUCGCGCCGGCGCUCGACGGUGGUUCGAGCGUCUUUGUGAGCUCGUUCCCGAAGGACCUGGCGCUGGUCGCGGAGGGUCCGCGGGUCGGAUGACACUAUGGAGAUGUUAUCACAAGCGUCGUCACGACGGGCUGAUGCCCGCGGCGGCUGGCGAGGAGGAGGAGAGUGCACCGUGGGCGCAACUCCCCCGGUCCUCCCAGCGCCAGCAUGCGGUGGCUCGGUGGAGCGCCGACCCGAGGGUCCCGCCGGUCGUGGAUUGUCUUUAUUGGCGACGGCGAUGAGGCUUCGGGUGGUGGCCCUCCACUCGUCAAGCUUCUCCGCAGCAGGAGGGAAGUCGAGGAGUAGCUGUGCGCGCGCCAAAGCUUCUGCCGGCGUGGGCGGCGGCGACAGCUACGUGGAUCGCGGCGCGCUUCGACUUCUAACUACGUUAGAAGGAGCUCCGUUACAACCCAGCGGCUACGUGCCAUUUUCGCCAGCGCUUCGGCGGGCGUGCUGAACCCCUUCAUCCUGCGGACGACGCACUGGGCUCUUCCCACGGUGGUGCCCAGGGUCACCAACGCGGUGACGCUGCUCGACACGCACACCAUGGAAGAGCGCACAGUGGUCGCCGGUGUGGGCGUCCUGGAGGUCGCUGCGCCGCCCGGAGGUGGCACAACGACACCCCUGGAGGGCCCGCGCCGCCUACGGGGGGCCCAGCUCCGUCUUUGGAUCCGGCGACGUGUAGCCGGUCGUCUGGUGCGCGAACGACGUCGCUCGCCAGGCUCUGACUACCAGGGCGUUGCUGGUGCUCGCGGACCGCGACCCGGGUCCUGUCUGUGACCGGUCCACUGCCCGCCCGCACCGGCACGGGCCGUUCGGCUCCCAACGAGCCGACCGCCGUGGCUGUCUUCUUCUUAGGAGCCAUGGCGACGAAGAACUACUAGGCUAACUACUAGACCAGAUUCUCACAAUUGCGCCCCCUACCUGGCGCGCCAAAGAUGUCGGUGUGGAACGACACCUACGGGAUCACAAGAAUCCCUACUACGGUUGCCGGGGUGCGGGGUUGCAAGAAGAGCAGGGCUAGUAGACAACACAAAGAUCGUUUACCCAGGUUCGGGCCGCGAGGAUGGGUAAAACCCUAGUCCUGCUUUGGUGGGUGUAUUUUCAGAGAGUUCUUGAGCUCUCGAACAAGCUGUGGUCAGUGCGUGGUUCAAAAGAGCCGAAUCCUUCUCCAGUAUGCCAUGGGCCUCCUUUUAUAGUCGAAAGGGGUUGCCACAGUGGCACACAGGAGGUGGAAAGGCGUACAGUGCCCUGAGCUUAUCGCUCGUAUUACAGGACAAGAUGCAUUUAAUGCGUAGCUUAGGUGUCCCCUUGCUUUAUUGGGGAUGGGGGCGAGGCCCGUCCCGUCCGUCGCCGCUCCUCCUCGCUUUGACACGCGCCCUGGCCAGUGAGGCGCGUGGUGCCAUGUAAGCAGGCAGGCAGGCAGCAGAGGUGGCGCAGUGGCGGAGCCUUCACGAAGAUAUGCAUGCCGCCACGUAGGCGCUUGAUGAGUUGGCCUAGGAGCUGCAUGUUGCCACGCAGGUGCCCGCCCAGCUGGUUGGGCUGGCAGCUGCAUGUGAACAGCGGUGGAAGCUUGGUUGGCGUGGGCCUAGCGGUGGCCCUGCUGGCGUCCGUGGUGAGGGCCUUGCCGGGUGGCCCGGCAAGGGUCUUGCUGUGGCGCGCUGUCAUCCCCGGCGAGGGCCUUGCCGGGGGUCUGGUGACCUUCCUCGGCAGGGAUCUUGCCGAGGAUCGUCGUCUUCUAAUCCUCAUCUGAUUUUGAAUAUGUCUUCACAAAGAUCUGCAUGCCACCACGGAGGUGCCUCCCGAGCCCUGGCCCAACGUGAUGUUGGAGACCAUGGGCUCAAGGGUGGCCCGCUCUGUUGGUGCGAGGCGAGCUGUCCCGGCAAGGAUCUUGCCGGGGCUGCUGAGGCUGCCCCAGCAAGGGUCUUGCCGGGGAACAUGCUUCGUCCCUCUGCUUUUUGUGGUCUUGGCCUUGGCGUUGCUCUUAUUAUCUUGGACUUUGGUCUUACCUUGGCUCACCUCCCCUGUUCUGCUUGGCGUGACCGUAGGCGCGUCUCCGACUGCCCGUGCACAUGUAUAGGGGUACAAAAACGCACCCUUUUUUUUGUACACCGACAUAUAUCUAUCCAUUCUUGCUACGACUUGUUGAAUAUUCGAAUGAUAAUCAUAAAAGAGAAUGUUGACUAGUGAAUUGUUUAUUUUGCAGAAAAGUGCGCAAAGGCACUAUAAUCGUCAAGAUUUCUACUAUGUGGCUAACGAGAAGAGACAAGGGUAUGAAAGAAAUACGUCAAGGCCUGAGCGUGAAGGAAAGAAGUAAUGUAGGGGAGCAAACUAAAAGAAGAGGAGGAUCUUCUUGGGCAUAAAUGAAGAGAAGAGGAGGGCCAAUGUGCAAAUGUGGCAGAUCAGAGAGGGGAAUGAAAUCCCUAGCGGCACCUCAUUGCAAAUCGGGCCUGGCCACAUCUCCAUCUCUCUCCCCCUCACCACUUCUUCCACCACCGGCCGCCGCCGCGGCCAGGCCGGCGUGGCGGCGCGCCACCAACACCACCGCGCCAUAGCACCACCCAUAAUCUCCAUCCAUCUGCGCCUCCCGGCCACCCAUCAUUCCCUCCAUCCACAGCGCCGCCAGAACCCAUCCAUCAUCACCUCCAGCCGGCGCCGCCGCCUCGCCUACAGCCAUCUCCCUGCUGUCCGCUGCUCUCCUCUUCUUUCCAACCUUCUUCUCCUCACCAUGCUGCUGCUCCUCCCUCUCAAUCUCUACUGCUGCUCUUCCUUGCCCCCCCACCCCCCCGUGCUGCUGCCUCUCCUUCCCUUCGUUGCUUGCUGCUUCUCCUUUGAUCCCUUUGCUACUGCUCCUCUUCUUCGUGCCCAACCUCCGCUGCUGCUCCUCUUUCCUGCUGCUACUCCCUCUCACCACGCCUCUGCUGCUCUCUUUCCCCUCCUGCUGCUGCUCUCCUCACCAUGCUGCUUCUCCUCUUGCUGCUGCUGCCCGCCCCCGACCUCCUCCUGCUAUCUCUCUCUACUUCCCCUGCUACCUUUCUUCUCUGAACCUACCUACUGCUUCUCUCUCUCUCUGAAAUUGCUGUAGUACUAAGAUUUGUAAGACAGUGUACUACAACCUGUUAAUUGUUCAGUUCAGAUUUUUGCUUGUUUAGUAUUAUUCUGUUGAUCUGUGCUAAUCUUGUGGCUAGUAUAAUUUCGUUUCUGUUGUUACUUGUGUAACCUGAACCGUGGUUAGUAUCCUAUUUGCAUAUGUGUGUUUUGUAGUCCCUGUAUUAGUUACGUACCUGUGAUAUAUAAAUGUGUGUGUGCGUGUGUGUGUGUAAUUCAUCAAAAUAUAUUGUUGUGUGAUGAUGAUAUAUGUUCAGUCUAGAGACACGUUAUUUUUCUUGCUUUGUAGAUCGAUGUGAACUAGUACCCUUGUGUGUUUCUGUUGUCACUAGUUAAAUUGAUCACCUAUGUACUACUUGUUGUAGAAACUUGUUACAUUAGUCCUUGUGCUAGCUAUGCACCUGUGAUAAAUAUGUGUGUGAUGUGAAACAUUUCUGUUCUGUCCUAUAAUAUUGUUUCCUCCCUCUUUUGCUUGUCAUUAUGCUAUAUGUGUUCAUGUCCUAAUGUUUCCCUUUAUGUUAGUUUCUAAUUUCUCAUGCCUAAUAAAAAUACCAAAAGACAGCAAGUAAGAUCUGAUCCUCCCUUUGCUAUUUUGCCUUUUCUUUGUGGAUCAUCUUUGGGAGCAACCUUGUUUAGUUUAGGUUUAUUUUCUUGCAGCCAUAAUCUCAAUUGUGUUACCUAGAUUUAGCUGAGCAUAGUCGCCGUCGCCUAGUCCCUGCGGGGAACACGACACUCGCGAUUUGGGCGAAAUAUCCCACCACAUUUACAAACGAUCAGCGAGGCUCAUCGUCGUCCUUGCUAGGCGGCCCUUUCCCCUUGUGCUCGGUGUUUAGCUUACCGACCUGUUUGAAGACCCAACAAUUUUUGCUGGUAUGAUUGGCAGGCUUGUCAGGGGUGCCAUGGAUCUGGCAAGGCCGAUCGAGUAUUCUGUCCAAACUGGAUGAACCAUCUUUGUUUCCUUUGAAUGGCUUCUUUCGUUGACCGGGUUUAGAGCCACUGAAUCCAGCGUUGACCGCCGUAUCUUCGGUAUCUUCAUU
Molecule: long non-coding RNA, 26789 nt
Filed under: Triticum aestivum (bread wheat)
Lineage: Eukaryota; Viridiplantae; Streptophyta; Magnoliopsida; Poales; Poaceae
Description: long non-coding RNA (TAES_LNC013351)
Source: RNAcentral